RNAcentral lists this non-coding RNA (791 nucleotides) under Epicypta sp. WQY004. Lineage: Eukaryota; Metazoa; Arthropoda; Insecta; Diptera; Mycetophilidae. The record is from RNAcentral.
UUAAAGUUUAAUUUUUACUUAAAGAUUUAUUUUUAGUUUAUUUUACAUGUAAUUUUUUGAAYGAAAAAAUAUAAAUUUUAAAAAUUUUAUAAUAAUUAUAUUCGCAGUAAUUAAUUUUAAUAAAUAAAAGAAAUUUUGAAUUAGUAAAUUAAAUAGUAUUAGUAAUAAUUGUGCCAGCAACUGCGGUUAUACAAUAAAUACAAAUAAAUUUUAUUUUAAAAAGUCAAUAGUAAGUUUAAUAAAAAUUAAAAUUAAAUUUUUUAGGUUAAAUUUUAAAUUUAAAAAUUAUUUUUAUAAAAAUUAUAUGAAGCUUAAAAAUUUAUAAUAAAAACUAGGAUUAGAUACCCUAUUAUUAAAAAUGUAAAAUUAUCAUUAAAGAGUAGUAAUAGUUAUAUUCUUAAAACUUAAUAAAUUUGGCGGUAUUUUAAUCUAUUCAGAGGAACUUGUUUUAUAAUUGAUAAUCCUCAUUUUAUCUUACUUAAUUUUGUAUAAUUUGUAUAUCGUCGUCAUAAGAAUUUCUUAAAAAAGAAAAAAUUUUCUUAAUUAUUAAUUAAUAAAAAUGUCAGAUCAUGGUGCAGUUUAUAGUUAAGAAAAAAUGAGUUACAAUAAAUUUAUUUAUUAUGAAAUUAAAAUUUAAAUAUUUUAAGGAAAGAGGAUUUGAUAGUAAAAUAUAUUAUAGAGUAUAUUUGAUUUUAGUUCUAAAAUAUGCACAUAUCGCCCGUCGCUCUCGUUACUUAAAAUGAGAUAAGUCGUAACAUAGUAGAAGUACUGGAAAGUGUUUCUAGAUUUCA